UACAGAGGGUGCUAGCGUUGUUCGGAAUCAUUGGGCGUAAAGGGCGUGUAGGCGGUUUGUUAUGUCGGAUGUGAAAGCCCUUGGCUUAACUGAGGAAGUGCAUCCGAAACUGGCAGGCUAGAGUACUAAAGAGGGUCGCGGAAUUCCCGGUGUAGAGGUGAAAUUCGUAGAUAUCGGGAGGAACACCGGUGGCGAAGGCGGCGACCUGGGUAGAUACUGACGCUGAGGUGCGAAAGCGUGGGGAGCAAACAGG
This 253-nucleotide ribosomal RNA is filed under the name uncultured bacterium. RNAcentral describes it as "partial 16S ribosomal RNA". It matches the Rfam family "Bacterial small subunit ribosomal RNA", at positions 524 to 776 of the family's 1533-position model. The record is from RNAcentral.